This 253-nucleotide ribosomal RNA is filed under the name uncultured bacterium. Its description in RNAcentral is "partial 16S ribosomal RNA". It matches the Rfam family "Bacterial small subunit ribosomal RNA", at positions 524 to 776 of the family's 1533-position model. The record is from RNAcentral.
UACGGGGGGGGCAAGCGUUGUUCGGAAUUACUGGGCGUAAAGGGCUCGUAGGUGGCCAACUAAGUCAGACGUGAAAUCCCUCGGCUUAACCGGGGAACUGCGUCUGAUACUGGAUGGCUUGAGUUCGGGAGAGGGAUGCGGAAUUCCAGGUGUAGCGGUGAAAUGCGUAGAUAUCUGGAGGAACACCGGUGGCGAAGGCGGCAUCCUGGACCUGUCCUGACGCUCAGGCGCGAAAGCUAGGGGAGCGAACAGG